GAACCACCAUGUGUUUGCGGCUCCCAUCUCCUUCCUUCGUCGCCGUCGAGCCAUACGACAUGUCCGAAAUUCAGAGAGUGAAAGAGACACUGAGAAAGAGAGCCUCGUUCUAACUCCGAGCCCUUGAUUCUGAAACCCUAGAAUUUGGGAAAUUUCAAAGUAAAUUCGCAGGCGGGGUUGUAAGAUCACUUGAGACUAGCGAGAGAAUUACGCAAUGAAAGGAUCCUGUGACUCACUCCUGUCAUCUUCUUCGAUGGUGGUGGUGGUACUGUUGCUCAGAUUGAUAAGCAAUUGAACACGCUUGACGAUCCCUUGACGUGGAUGAAACAGAUGAGCUUUAUGGAAAACAGUAGUGGAGGAGACGAAGGUUGUAAAGAAAUUGGAUGCAGAGAGGAGAGAGCAUUCGAAGAAGGAGUCUUGCUGCUUUCCGCUGAUCAAAUACAGUGUUUUACAUGUUUGGCUAAAUUAAAAAGGCUGCUUGAGGAGGCUUUCGUCCUUCCUUUAUGGAUACCCGAAUAUUUUUUUGAGAUAACACGCUGUUGGCUAAAUGGUUGCCACUGAGUGUGGUACACUGGUACUGCAUUCUCCAAUGUCCCUACUGCUACUUACAGCCUCAGAAAUGGCGUGGAGGAGAGUGAGUGCAUGGUCAAAUGCUCCGGGCACAAUCUUCAUUGCUGAGAUUGAUUCUGUUUACAACUCUCGAGGGUGACUUCCUCUUCUAGCGUUAGUAUAUUUGUAUAUCCAUGCGCUUUCUUCUUUUCUACUCACCAAAAGAUCAAAGCACAGUGUGUCAUUGUGUGACAAAUAAAAAAAAUGUGAAUUUGAAAAAAAACAGUAGAGGUUCCGGAGAGCAAGAAAUCAUCAAGAAGAGUGAACUCCGGGUUCAGGUAGAGGGGCGUGAGCAAUACAGCAACAAAGUAGGACGGUAUUACCAAUAAUCAUGCUCGUUUUCAGGUGGCCAGUACCGUUGACACUGAGGAAGUGGCUUUGGCUAGGAUAAGCAAAAAGGAUACAGGGGAGACAAAUCUGACUAACGUGUGCAGAGACGCGUGAAUGAACGGAAUCUGAGGGAGGAGAUCAAGAACAUGUGUGAUUUCGAAAGAUCUCCAAUGGCGAUGUGUGAUUUCGAAGAGGCACCGACACCAGAUAUCGACAAGUGGUUCCCAGAGUUCUACUCGGCGAAAAAACUUCCAACUAUACCGUUACUUGUUUUGUCUUGAUUUAUUGCUUUCUUCCACCAUUCUCAAAUUUUCUCUUUUAUUUCUUACGGUGUUAUUGUCGUGAUGCCUCUCUCUCUGCCACUAACUGAAAUAAGUUUCGAAUUUUAUCCGACAUUUUAUUUAUUUGUAUAUAUAUUAAAUGGAGACACGUGAAUAUUA
Molecule: long non-coding RNA, 1379 nt
Organism: Eutrema salsugineum
Lineage: Eukaryota; Viridiplantae; Streptophyta; Magnoliopsida; Brassicales; Brassicaceae
Exons: 4
Source: RefSeq, a predicted model, not a curated record